RNAcentral lists this ribosomal RNA (443 nucleotides) under uncultured bacterium. RNAcentral's name for it is "partial 16S ribosomal RNA". It matches the Rfam family "Bacterial small subunit ribosomal RNA", at positions 338 to 795 of the family's 1533-position model. The record is from RNAcentral.
CCUACGGGUGGCAGCAGUGGGGAAUAUUGGGCAAUGGGCGCAAGCCUGACCCAGCAACGCCGCGUGUAGGAAGAAGGCUUUCGGGUUGUAAAGUUCUUUUCUGAGGGACGAAGAAAGUGACGUUACCUCACGAAUAAGCCACGGCUAACUACGUGCCAGCAGCCGCGGUACUACGUAGGUGGCAAGCGUUAUCCGUAUUUAUUGGGUGUAAAGGGCGUGUAGGCGGGAAAUAAAGUCAGAUGUGAAAACUCAGGGCUCAACCCGGAGCCUGCAUUUGAAACUGUUUUGCUUGAGUGCUGGAGAGGCAAUCGGAAUUCCGUGUGUAGCGGUGAAAUGCGUAGAUAUACGGAGGAAUACCAGUGGCGAAGGCGGAUUGCUGGACAGUAACUGACGCUGAGGCGCGAAAGCGUGGGGAGCAAACAGGAUUAGAUACCCCAGUAGUC